GUGCCAGCCGCCGCGGUAAUACCGGCAGCCCGAGUGAUGGCCGAUCUUAUUUGGCCUAAAGCGUCCGUAGCUGGCUGCGCAAGUCCGUCGGGAAAUCCACUCGCCUAACGAGUGGGCGUCCGACGGAAACUGCACAGCUUGGGACCGGAAGGCUCGAAGGGUACGUUCGGGGUAGGAGUGAAAUCCUGUAAUCCCGGACGGACCACCGAUGGCGAAAGCACUCUGAGAAGACGGCUUCGACAGUGAGGGACGAAAGCUAGGGUCUCGAACCGGAUUAGAUACCCUGGUAGUCC
RNAcentral lists this ribosomal RNA (293 nucleotides) under uncultured bacterium. RNAcentral's name for it is "partial 16S ribosomal RNA". It matches the Rfam family "Archaeal small subunit ribosomal RNA", at positions 455 to 747 of the family's 1478-position model. The record is from RNAcentral.